Molecule: ribosomal RNA, 465 nt
Filed under: uncultured Leuconostoc sp.
Lineage: Bacteria; Bacillati; Bacillota; Bacilli; Lactobacillales; Lactobacillaceae
Description: bacterial SSU rRNA
Rfam family: Bacterial small subunit ribosomal RNA
Source: RNAcentral
CCUACGGGCGGCUGCAGUAGGGAAUCUUCCACAAUGGGCGAAAGCCUGAUGGAGCAACGCCGCGUGUGUGAUGAAGGCUUUCGGGUCGUAAAGCACUGUUGUAUGGGAAGAACAGCUAGAAUCGGAAAUGAUUUUAGUUUGACGGUACCAUACCAGCAAGGGACGGCUAACUACGUGCCCGCACGCGCGUUAAUACGUAUGUCCCGAGCGUUAUCCGGAUUGAUUGGGCGUAAAGCGAGCGCAGGCGGUUUAUUUAGUCAGGUGUGAAAGCCCGGAGCUCAACUCCGGAAUUGCAUUGGAAACUGGAUAACUUGAGUGCAGUAGAGGUAAGUGGAACUCCAUGUGUAGCGGUGAAAUGCGUAGAUAUAUGGAAGAACACCAGUGACGAAGGCGGCUCACUGGACUGCUACUGACGUUGAGGUUCGAAAGUGUGGGUAGCAAACAGGAUUAGAUACCCUAGUAGUC